GUGUCAGCAGCCGCGGUCAUACGGAGGAUCCAAGCGUUACCCGGAAUUAUUGGGCGUAAAGAGUUGCGUAGGUGGUUUAUUAAGUGAUGUGCGAAAUCUGACGGCUCAACCGGAAGUUGGUAUUUCAAACUGAUAAACUUGAGGAUGGUAGAGGUGAGUGGAAUUGCUGGUGUAGGAGUGAAAUCCGUAGAUAUCAGCAGGAACACCCAUGGCGAAGGCAGCUCACUGGGCCAUUCCUGACACUGAUGCACGAAAGCGUGGGGAGCGAACGGGAUUAGAUACCCCGGUAGUCCACGCUGUAAACGAUGGAUGCUAGCUGUUGGUCGUAUCGACCCGAUCGGUAGCGAAGCUAACGCGUUAAGCAUCCCGCCUGGGGAGUACGAGCGCAAGCUUAAA
RNAcentral lists this ribosomal RNA (396 nucleotides) under uncultured bacterium. RNAcentral describes it as "bacterial SSU rRNA". It matches the Rfam family "Bacterial small subunit ribosomal RNA", at positions 505 to 898 of the family's 1533-position model. The record is from RNAcentral.